RNAcentral lists this ribosomal RNA (468 nucleotides) under uncultured bacterium. RNAcentral's name for it is "partial 16S ribosomal RNA". It matches the Rfam family "Bacterial small subunit ribosomal RNA", at positions 28 to 507 of the family's 1533-position model. The record is from RNAcentral.
GAUGAACGCUGGCGGCGUGCUUAACACAUGCAAGUCGAACGGCAAGGCCCUGCUUUUGUGGGGUGCUCGGGUGGCGAACGGGUGCGUAACACGUGAGUAUCCUGCCCUUGACUUUGGGAUAACUUCAGGAAACUGGGGCUACUACCGUAUAGCAGCUCAUGCUCGAUUGUGGGGGUUGGAUCGUUUCUGCUGUUGGGGAUGGAUUCGCGGCUAAUCGGCUUGUUGGUUGGGUAGUGGCUUACCCAGUUAUUGGCGGGUAGCCGGCAUGGGAGGGUGACCAGGCACAAUGGGACUAAGGGAGGGCCCAGACGCCUACAGGGGACAACGGUGGGAAAUAUUGCACAAUGGGCGGGAGCCUGAGACAGCAACGCCGCGGGCGGGAUGACGGCCUGCGGGGUAUGAACCGCUUUAGCCUGAGACGAAGCGUGAGUGACGGUAAUGGGUAAAGAAGCACCGGCUAACUACGUG